This 59-nucleotide ribosomal RNA is filed under the name Cryptomonas paramaecium. RNAcentral describes it as "Cryptomonas paramecium partial Eukaryotic large subunit ribosomal RNA". Lineage: Eukaryota; Cryptophyceae; Cryptomonadales; Cryptomonadaceae. The record is from RNAcentral.
AAGGGCGGCGUACUCAUAACCGCAGCAGGCCUCCCAGGUGAGCAGCCCCUGGUCGCUCA